Molecule: ribosomal RNA, 427 nt
Filed under: uncultured Serratia sp.
Lineage: Bacteria; Pseudomonadati; Pseudomonadota; Gammaproteobacteria; Enterobacterales; Yersiniaceae
Description: bacterial SSU rRNA
Rfam family: Bacterial small subunit ribosomal RNA
Source: RNAcentral
UGGGGAAUAUUGCACAAUGGGCGCAAGCCUGAUGCAGCCAUGCCGCGUGUGUGAAGAAGGCCUUCGGGUUGUAAAGCACUUUCAGCGAGGUGAGGAGUGGUGAGCCUAAUACGCUCAUCAAUUGACGUUACUCGCAGAAGAAGCACCGGCUAACUCCGUGCCAGCAGCCGCGGUAAUACGGAGGGUGCAAGCGUUAAUCGGAAUUACUGGGCGUAAAGCGCACGCAGGCGGUUUGUUAAGUCAGAUGUGAAAUCCCCGGGCUCAACCUGGGAACUGCAUUGAACUGGCAAGCUAGAGUCUCGUAGAGGGGGGUAGAAUUCCAGGUGGUAGCGGUGAAAUGCGUUAGAGAUCUGGAGGAAUACCGGUGGCGAAGGCGGCCCCCUGGCACGAAGACUGACGCUCAGGUGCGAAAGCGUGGGAGCAAACA